UCCAGACUCCUGCGGGAGGCAGCAGUGGGGAAUUUUCCGCAAUGGGCGAAAGCCUGACGGAGCAAUACCGCGUGAGGGAGGAAGGCUCUUGGGUUGUAAACCUCUUUUCUCAGGGAAGAACAAAAUGACGGUACCUGAGGAAUAAGCAUCGGCUAACUCCGUGCCAGCAGCCGCGGUAAUACGGAGGAUGCAAGCGUUAUCCGGAAUUAUUGGGCGUAAAGCGUCCGCAGGUGGCAAUUCAAGUCUGCUGUUAAAGGUUCUGGCUCAACCAGAGACAGGCAGUGGAAACUGAAUAGCUAGAGUGCGGUAGGGGCAGAGGGAAUUCCCAGUGUAGCGGUGAAAUGCGUAGAGAUUGGGAAGAACACCGGUGGCGAAAGCGCUCUGCUAGGCCGUAACUGACACUCAUGGACGAAAGCUAGGGGAGCGAAUGGGAUUAGAUACCCCAGUAGUCCUAGCCGUAAACGAUGGAUACUAGGCGUUGCUCGCAUCGACCCGAGCAGUGCCGUAGCUAACGCGUUAAGUAUCCCGCCUGGGGAGUACGCGCGCAAGCGUGAAACUCAAAGGAAUUGACGGGGGCCCGUACAAGCGG
RNAcentral lists this ribosomal RNA (589 nucleotides) under Schizochytrium aggregatum. Its description in RNAcentral is "partial Bacterial small subunit ribosomal RNA". It matches the Rfam family "Bacterial small subunit ribosomal RNA", at positions 330 to 932 of the family's 1533-position model. Lineage: Eukaryota; Bigyra; Thraustochytrida; Thraustochytriidae. The record is from RNAcentral.